CCUACGGGUGGCAGCAGUAGGGAAUAUUGGACAAUGGGCGAAAGCCUGAUCCAGCCAUGCCGCGUGGUAGAUGAAGGCCCUCUGGGUUGUAAAUACCUUUUAUCUGGGAAGAAAUAUCUCGUUCUCGAGAAACUGACGGUACCAGAUGAAUAAGCACCGGCUAACUCCGUGCCAGCAGCCGCGGUAAUACGGAGGGUGCAAGCGUUAUCCGGGUUUACUGGGUUUAAAGGCGGGGUUAUAAGGAUGUGGUGAAGGCCCCGGGCUUAACUUGGGAAUUGCCAUUGAUACUGUUUGUCUUGAAUACGAUUGAGGUAAGCGGAAUGUUGCAUGUAGCGGUGAAAUGCUUAGAUAUGUUACAGAACACCAAUUGCGAAGGCAGCUUACUAAGUCGUCAUUGACGCUGAGGCACGAAAGCGUGGGGAGCAAACAGGAUUAGAUACCCGAGUAGUC
Molecule: ribosomal RNA, 450 nt
Filed under: uncultured bacterium
Lineage: Bacteria
Description: partial 16S ribosomal RNA
Rfam family: Bacterial small subunit ribosomal RNA
Source: RNAcentral